AAAAAGAUGAUGAUAGGGACCAGUAAGCGUUUGGUCUUCCGCCCAGAGAGCCGCCGGGUGGUGCGAGGCGGCCGGAGAAGAACGCCGAACUCUCCCUGGAGUUGCCGACCGAAAUCUUAAAGUGAAGUGUUCGAAAAGGAGCACGAUAGACACGAGAAGUUCAAGGCGGCGAAGGUUUCGAGGAGCGGAGCGUACUUAAAGGUACGUGAGCACCGGAGAAACCGAGCCAACGCAGAAAUUCGAAGUGGAUCUCGAGCGGACUUUUCGAACAUCCUCUUAAGAGAGAGUAGGCCCGGACGGAAGCUUCCACCGUUAAAAGGAAGGGGAUAUCGGACCUGGGAUCAAGUCCCGUAUCCUUUACAGAGGUAACGGCUUUGUGCCGUUAAUUUGAGUGGUACCGCGGAGCAAACCCUUCGUCUCAAAG
This 424-nucleotide non-coding RNA is filed under the name Clostridiales bacterium. Its description in RNAcentral is "T-box sequence". It matches the Rfam family "T-box leader". Rfam says of the family: Uncharged tRNA acts as the effector for transcription antitermination of genes in the T-box leader family. T-boxes are found upstream of many aminoacyl-tRNA synthetase genes and some amino acid biosynthetic genes usually in Gram-positive bacteria. Lineage: Bacteria; Bacillati; Bacillota; Clostridia; Eubacteriales. The record is from RNAcentral.